RNAcentral lists this ribosomal RNA (433 nucleotides) under uncultured bacterium. RNAcentral's name for it is "partial 16S ribosomal RNA". It matches the Rfam family "Bacterial small subunit ribosomal RNA", at positions 29 to 507 of the family's 1533-position model. The record is from RNAcentral.
AACGAACGCUGGCGGCAUGCCUAACACAUGCAAGUCGAACGAGAACUUCGGGCCUAGUGGCGCACGGGUGGGUAACGCGUGGGAACCUGCCCUUAGGUUCGGAAUAACUCCCCGAAAGGGGUGCUAAUACCGGUUAAUGUCAUCGCAGCAAAGAUUUAUUGCUUUUGGAUGGGCGCGGGUUGGCUUAGGCAGUUGGUAGGGUAAAAGCAUCGCAUCGCGUCGAUCCAUGGCUGGUCUGAGAGGAGGAUCAGUCAGAAUGGGACUGAGACACGGCCCAGCCUGCGACGGGAGGCAGCAGAGGGGAAUAUUGGACAAGGAGGGAAAGCCUGGUCCAGCAAUGCCGCGGGAGUGAGGAAGGCCUUAGGGUUGUAAAGCUCUUUUACCCGGGAUGAUAAUGACAGUACCGGGAAAAUAAGCACCGGCUAACUACGUG